AAAUAAGAAGCAAAAUAUUGCAUUUAGUUUCGACCUAAAAAUUUGAUUUUCAAAAUCCUUAUUUU
This 65-nucleotide transfer RNA is filed under the name Galeruca sp. EMHAU-15083109. RNAcentral describes it as "tRNA-Arg". Lineage: Eukaryota; Metazoa; Arthropoda; Insecta; Coleoptera; Chrysomelidae. The record is from RNAcentral.